Poecilia latipinna (sailfin molly) is the source of this 116-nucleotide long non-coding RNA. RefSeq lists it as uncharacterized. NCBI's taxonomy places the organism in Eukaryota, Metazoa, Chordata, Actinopteri, Cyprinodontiformes, Poeciliidae. The record is from RefSeq and is a predicted model, not a curated record. The transcript is spliced from 3 exons.
UCAAUACAGAUGGAGAAUUUUGCUCUAAAUACAGUCUGAACCUCUGCAACAGUAGCUGUGUUUUCAUUACAAAUUCAAAAGUACUUUAUUAAUCCCAAAUUAAAUGUUGUUGUAAC